This 319-nucleotide unclassified non-coding RNA is filed under the name uncultured fungus. Its description in RNAcentral is "partial contains small subunit ribosomal RNA, internal transcribed spacer 1, and 5.8S ribosomal RNA". The stretch from base 1 to 73 matches the Rfam family "Eukaryotic small subunit ribosomal RNA", at positions 1759 to 1831 of the family's 1831-position model. The record is from RNAcentral. Lineage: Eukaryota; Fungi.
UCAAACUUGGUCAUUUAGAGGAAGUAAAAGUCGUAACAAGGUUUCCGUAGGUGAACCUGCGGAAGGAUCAUUAUUGAUUCUAUAAUGGUGAGGCGGGAAAUGUUGUGCUGGCUCUGAUAAGGGGCAUGUGCACGCAUAUCCUAUAUAGCCUUGCCAAAAACCCCUCAUUCACACUUUGUGCACCUGCUGUAGGUCUGUUAUGGACCUAUGUCUUUUCAUAUCUUCCAUAGUAUGUUUAUAGAAUGUUAAUUGGGAUGAUAUAAAUUAUACAACUUUCAGCAACGGAUCUCUUGGCUCUCGCAUCGAUGAAGAACGCAGC